Molecule: RNA transcript, 2352 nt
Organism: Triticum aestivum (bread wheat)
Lineage: Eukaryota; Viridiplantae; Streptophyta; Magnoliopsida; Poales; Poaceae
Exons: 3
Source: RefSeq, a predicted model, not a curated record
ACCACUGCGAACUUAGUGAUAGCGCGGUUAACCGGCAUCCGCUACAACCAAGCGCACCACACCUCCUUCACUCCCUUAUCCCCCUGUCUCUCGUCACGUUCUCUCUCCCUCCCCUUCCUCCCUCGACUCCGAUCCAGAUCCAGGGCCAUGGUGCGCCCUCUUCCCCAUCGCAGCCGGCCACCAUCCCCACACUUUCUCUCCUUUGGCUCGUGGAUCCAUCUCUUCCAUGGCCGCCUCCCACACCGUCUACUCCUUCCCCCAUCUCAUCACUAGAGAAGACAAGGCAAGUGGGAGGGAAAUCGACCGUGUAGGUCAGAUCCAUCCGCCACGACCUCGGCGGAGAUGGCCAAGUGGAUGGAGCGGACCUGCAAAUCUUCAAUCCAAGGUAGCCUCGAAUUGCCGCGUGCGACGUUCUGGCCUAGGUCCGACGUUCCCCAUUUUUCUGGUUUGGGAGUGAUGCGGAGAGCCAGCAGCAGGUGAGGCAGAGAUGCCUGGGGCUGGGAGGCGACUGGAGCUGGAAGAGGGUGCUCAAGCUCGUGCUCCCCUGCCAGAGCAGCACCGGUCGGCCGUCUACAAGGUCAGGAACACGAGGUCGAGAUGGCGACAACGGCAAGGAGGAUGCCAAGGCGGCCAGGGCGUGGCCGGCUGCAGUACAGCUGGUCUGCAAGUUGAAGGUUAAUCGUACAAGUAGAAGGACCCGCAAUGGCGGCGACGAUGGGUUUCUGAAUAAUCUCUUUUCGACGUUCCAACGGCAACGGUCGCGACCGUGUCGCUGACACCAUCAGGAGCCGGUGGCCUGCUGAAGAACCUAAUCGAUCUUGGCAUCAUCGUGUAGUGGUGACAUUUUCGAUUUUGAGGUAGCAGGGGCCUGUAGAAUUUUGACAUACCUUUGAUGGUAUACAUCUUGGAUUGAAUGAUAUGACCUGCUAUUCUGAAUGUUAGAUGGACAUCUCAAAAUAUGGCCUUAACAAACAUGAAAGCUCUUGAAUAAGUCAUACAGUAUUGGAUUGACAUUAUUUCGUUACAGUAUUUCUGAAUGUAUAUUGUUCUGAAUUUUUUUCAUCCUAAUGAUGUCUUAUAUGCAUGCGACGGGCUAACCUCUGUAUAUAGGUUGGCACGUCGCACUGGGUGAAGGCUGCAGAUCAUGCACUCGAGAUCAUCCACAAAACAUCAGGGAGAGGUUCUGUCGGCUGGAGCUUGUGGGAGUAUCACGUCGUGAUCGAGACCUGGGCGACCAUCUAUAUGUUCCAGGGGCAGGUGCUAAUUAAUGGACAGUCCAAGGAUGAAUGGGAGAGGUGGCUGCUGAUUACGGUUUGAUUUUGGUAAUUAUAUUUGGGUUCCUUGUUCGUUGCCGUUUUGUUGUGCUAGAUGUGGUAUAUGAUCCAUAAGAUAUUUAGAUAUUAGAUUAUUAUCACUGCAAUAGCAUCAGACCAAACUUGGUCUUUUCUCAUGUGCUAAAUCAAAGUAGGAAUCGGUUGUAGAAGUAGACAAGACUGCAACUAGCUUAAAGUUGGUUAGAUUAUGUAUAAAAGGGUAUUUCUGUUGUCUACUCUUUAGGUUCCCAUAGUGUGAGGUGGUAUUCCUUUUGAAAACACAUAUAAACUGGCAUCGAUAGUGAACAAUGGUGCUUCCUGUACGUAUAAACUGGAGCAGCAAUACUUAAACCUUUUACGUAAUAAAGCGUCCCGUUUCGCAAAAAAUAAACUGGAGCAGUAAUAUGAGGCUGAAGUAACCGACAUUAGCAACAAUAAUAUAAAUGUUUUCUGCACUGGGUCCGUGUGUCUCACAUGGAUGUUGAAUAGAUAAAAUGCUAUAAAGAUCAGCUUGCUUCUCAUGUAAUUGGAACGAUUGUGUGUCUUAGUUUUUCCUGUUUCCUUUGGUUUUGCAGCCAAGAUUUUUUUAGCACGUGCAUACAGAGCAGAACUGGAGCAUAAUAGUAGUUGAAAAAUGUUUUAGUGUAGUUUAUUAAAGAUUCCGUUUAUUUCUACAUUACGAAUGUAACUACUUAGUCAUUCUCAAAAAAGAAAAGAAACGAAUGUAGCUUACUUAGUCCACUGAGUUCCUUUAUGAUGUGUCCCUAAAGAAAGAGAGUUCCUUUAUGAUGUGUAGCACAUGUCCUUUACUGAUACGACAUAGUUUCUCAUUCUAGGUAACGGCAAGUGAAGCCAUGAAAGGCAUGUAUAUUGUACUACAGACAUGUAGCUUCAUGGUAUCUUUGUUGUGAUGUUCAUGUUCUCUUGGAAGAUUCUCUUACUAGAUUUAUGCUAGAUUUCACUAAAUCAUCUUUCUUUUACACAAGUACUAUGUAAGCUGUAUGUUUCCCAGGUUUGUUCAAAGUUUCUUGCACAUUCA